GCGGCGGACGGGUGAGUAACACGUGGGUAACCUGCCUGUAAGACUGGGAUAACUCCGGGAAACCGGAGCUAAUACCGGAUAGUUCCUUGAACCGCAUGGUUCAAGGAUGAAAGACGGUUUCGGCUGUCACUUACAGAUGGGCCCGCGGCGCAUUAACUAGUUGGUGGGGUAAUGGCUCACCAAGGCGACCAUGCGUAUCCGACCUGAGAGGGUGAUCGGCCACACUGGGACUGAGACACGGCCCAGACUCCUACGGGAGGCAGCAGUAUGGAAUCUUCCGCAAUGGACGAAAGUCUGACGGAGCAACGCCCCGUGAGUGAUGAAGGUUUUCGGAUCGU
Molecule: ribosomal RNA, 338 nt
Filed under: Bacillus sp. (in: firmicutes)
Lineage: Bacteria; Bacillati; Bacillota; Bacilli; Caryophanales; Bacillaceae
Description: bacterial SSU rRNA
Rfam family: Bacterial small subunit ribosomal RNA
Source: RNAcentral